Paramisgurnus dabryanus is the source of this 391-nucleotide non-coding RNA. The record is from RefSeq and is a predicted model, not a curated record. Lineage: Eukaryota; Metazoa; Chordata; Actinopteri; Cypriniformes; Cobitidae.
GCGUGAUAUAAAUACUCAUAUUUACAUACAUUAAUGAUCUUACUGGUUUAUGUGCUGCUCUUUUACAGAAUGUUGGAUCUGCGUAAGUGAUUUCCUCUCCACUGGUUUGAACUGUGUCAAAAAACAAUAAUAAACACAUUUAAAAAAAAAUAUAGCUCCAAGCAGCGAUUAUGGGGUCAAGCCCACCAAGGGCAAGAAAAGAGCUAAAAAUCCAUAAGAUCACAACUGAAGCCAUCAGACAUACAACAGCAAAACAGAUCAGAAUGAAGACUGUGUUUGCUGUUGUUAUGGUCCUGAAGCUGUUAUCCGAUUGGUCGUCUCUGCUCUGAUGGGCGUGGCUACUGUUGCUGUUUUGGUUCAUCACAUUUAUGACAACUCAAACUGAGAUGAA